This 287-nucleotide unclassified non-coding RNA is filed under the name Hevea brasiliensis (rubber tree). The record is from RNAcentral. Lineage: Eukaryota; Viridiplantae; Streptophyta; Magnoliopsida; Malpighiales; Euphorbiaceae.
AUAUUAGAUAAAUUUAAAAAUUGUGAAAUUUAAGAGUUUGAACUUGUUAAUGAACCAAUUCAUCAAUAAAAAAAGAAUCGUGUAAAAAUGAAUUCAGUGAGGACUGAAAAGUAGAUCACUUGGCCAUGGACAAAUAACUUGCCAUUACAUUUCAUUAAUUAAUAAUGAUUAUCAAUAAUUAAUUAUAAGAAAAUAUCCCUUUACAUGGUUAUUAUAUAUUAAAAAGAAAAAAAUAAAAAUAUGUUCAAGUGUGAUUAUAAAAAAAUUCAAAUUUAUAUAAAAAUGAG